This 441-nucleotide ribosomal RNA is filed under the name uncultured bacterium. RNAcentral describes it as "partial 16S ribosomal RNA". It matches the Rfam family "Bacterial small subunit ribosomal RNA", at positions 338 to 795 of the family's 1533-position model. The record is from RNAcentral.
CUUACGGGAGGCAGCAGUGGGGAAUAUUGCACAAUGGGGGAAACCCUGAUGCAGCAACGCCGCGUGCGUGAGGAAGUAUUUCGGUAUGUAAAGCUCUUUCAGCAGGGAAUAGAAAAGAAGGUACCUGAAAAAGAAGCCCCGGCUAACUACGUGCCAGCAGCCGCGGUAAUACGUAGGGGGCAAGCGUUAUCCGGAUGUACUGGGUGUAAAGGGCGUGUAGCCGGGGUGACAAGUCAGAGGUGAAAUCCGGGGGCUCAACCCCCGAACUGCAUUUGAAACUGGUGGUCUUGAGUAUCGGAGAGGCAGGCGGAAUUCCUGGUGUAGCGGUGAAAUGCGUAGAUAUUAGGAGGAACACCGGUGGCGAAGGCGGCCUGCUGGACGACAACUGACGGUGAGGCGCGAAAGCGUGGGGAGCAAACAGGAUUAGAUACCCCGGUAGUC